GUUCCUACGGGACGCAGCAGUGGGGAAUAUUGCACAAUGGGGGAAACCCUGAUGCAGCAACGCCGCGUGAAGGAAGACGGUUUUCGGAUUGUAAACUUCUGUUCUUAGUGAAGAAAAAUGACGGUAGCUAAGGAGCAAGCCACGGCUAACUACGUGCCAGCAGCCGCGGUAAUACGUAGGUGGCAAGCGUUGUCCGGAAUUACUGGGCGUAAAGGGAGCGCAGGCGGCGCGCCAAGUCUGAUGUGAAACCCCGGGGCUCAACCCCGGGCAUGCAUUGGAAACUGGCGGGCUGGAGUGCCGGAGAG
RNAcentral lists this ribosomal RNA (305 nucleotides) under uncultured bacterium. RNAcentral's name for it is "bacterial SSU rRNA". It matches the Rfam family "Bacterial small subunit ribosomal RNA", at positions 335 to 656 of the family's 1533-position model. The record is from RNAcentral.